GGACNUACGCUAAUACUGNAUNCGACNUACGGGUGNANCNGGAGGACCUUCGGGCUUUGCNCAGAUAGAUGANCNGACNUCGGAUUAGCUAGUUGGCGGGGUAAAGGCNCACCNAGGCGACGAUCCGUAGCUGGUNUGAGAGGAUGAUCAGCCACACUGGAANUGAGACACGGUCCAGACUCCUACGGGAGGCAGCAGUGGGGAAUAUUGGACAAUGGGCGCAAGCCUGAUCCAGCCAUGCCGCGUGUGUGAAGAAGGCCUUCGGGUUGUAAAGCACUUUUGUCCGGAAAGAAAAGCUUCGGGUUAAUACCCCGAGGUCAUGACG
Molecule: ribosomal RNA, 325 nt
Filed under: Lysobacter antibioticus
Lineage: Bacteria; Pseudomonadati; Pseudomonadota; Gammaproteobacteria; Lysobacterales; Lysobacteraceae
Description: partial 16S ribosomal RNA
Rfam family: Bacterial small subunit ribosomal RNA
Source: RNAcentral